This 559-nucleotide ribosomal RNA is filed under the name uncultured bacterium. RNAcentral's name for it is "partial 16S ribosomal RNA". It matches the Rfam family "Bacterial small subunit ribosomal RNA", at positions 355 to 907 of the family's 1533-position model. The record is from RNAcentral.
UGGGGAAUUUUGGACAAUGGGCGAAAGCCUGAUCCAGCAAUGCCGCGUGAGUGAAGAAGGCCUUCGGGUUGUAAAGCUCUUUUGUCAGGGAAGAAACGGUGAGAGCUAAUAUCUUUUGCUAAUGACGGUACCUGAAGAAUAAGCACCGGCUAACUACGUGCCAGCAGCCGCGGUAAUACGUAGGGUGCAAGCGUUAAUCGGAAUUACUGGGCGUAAAGCGUGCGCAGGCGGUUUUGUAAGUCUGAUGUGAAAUCCCCGGGCUCAACCUGGGAAUUGCAUUGGAGACUGCAAGGCUAGAAUCUGGCAGAGGGGGGUAGAAUUCCACGUGUAGCAGUGAGAUGCGUAGAUAUGUGGAGGAACACCGAUGGCGAAGGCAGCCCCCUGGGUCAAGAUUGACGCUCAUGCACGAAAGCGUGGGGAGCAAACAGGAUUAGAUACCCUGGUAGUCCACGCCCUAAACGAUGUCUACUAGUUGUCGGGUCUUAAUUGACUUGGUAACGCAGCUAACGCGUGAAGUAGACCGCCUGGGGAGUACGGUCGCAAGAUUAAAACUCAAAUG